Molecule: long non-coding RNA, 1361 nt
Organism: Gadus macrocephalus (Pacific cod)
Lineage: Eukaryota; Metazoa; Chordata; Actinopteri; Gadiformes; Gadidae
Exons: 2
Source: RefSeq, a predicted model, not a curated record
UGCUCGGUUUGAGCUAUUGUACAUUUGUUAAGAAGACAGUCAUUGUGUUUGCGACUUGAGUGUGACUCGAGUCCUAGUCGCAAAUGCAAGUCCCGAUCUCUGAUAUGUAAACAUAAGUGUGUUGUUUGGGAUUGCAACUUUGACAAUUAUUAUUUUCUGAUUGGUUAAUGCCUGUACACACAUGCAAUGCAGGUAACAACACGCAAUGAUCAGAUAGCUGAGAGUAAGGAUUCAAUUAAUAUGUAUCACUAUAUGAUGGUAUAUUAUGUAGAAUAUAUAUUUUAAUAUUUUCGUAUUGCUAUACCAAUACAUGGUAAACUCAACACAUUUGCACACGUGCUGAGGGCCUGGACAAACACAGGCACUAUAUUGUGAAUAAGCCAUCUAUCCCAGAGAUACGGCCUAUAUUUGCCUUGCUAUUGCUCACACUAAGUGCUAGGGAUCUCCCUAGGGGGCGGGUCCAACGACAGAAGCAAACGCCUGUUAAACAUGUGUGGUAGAUAAAGAAGCCCUUGAGCGGUGUGAAUACACCUGCAUGUUGUUUGCGUCCUCUCCAAGGCACUACAGGCUGGCCAAAUACCAUCUGAACACAAAGCUAUUGUCAAACACUAUUGGCACACACACUCAUAAAUAGGCAAUCAGACAUACAAUCCACAAGGGUGUAUGAUAGGUAUCACCGUAGAGCCCACAGAAGAGGUGUCCAUACAAGACGGGAUUUGGAAAAGUGGAACCGAUAGGCGAAUCUGUGGGUGGUGUUUAAUGUGACUGAGCCCUCUUAAUUUGCAAGAUUGGCAAAAAGUUCAAAGUUCAUAUCAUGCCCUUUUUGUGUUCAAUAAACAAAUUUUGAGUACUAGUAGAAUAUGUUUACAUGCUUUAAUGUUGAAAAUACGGGUCUCUCACCCUAUUCAUUUCUGCAAAACCGCUUUGAGCGUAAAGUCCAGUGCGCUCUGGCUGGCCCAUUAUGUUUUAUUGGUCAGACGGUCAGCGAGUGAGUUCUGGGCAGCUGUAAACAUGGUCAGUGUCUAUGGCUUUCGUCCUGCUGUUCCUGUUUGAACCCAAGUCGGAUAUAGAAUCACAAAUUAAGGCCACACAAUCAAUAUGACCCGACACAUCGUCGCAACCUGGAGUCGAGCCGGACGUUUCACCGUGGUUGUAAGACGAGUGGAGCAGCUUCCAGUCCCCCGAUAUGCAGGGUACACCAUCCAUCCUGGAGGACACCCGUACACCCUGAAUCCGCACACCUUGUAGAGCAUCUACAACAUCCUUGGAGCUGACUAUGAACCUUUGAGGCGUAAAGGAAGAUUACUUUUUUGUUACAUGUGUGAAACGUGAAAUGCACACGAUAAAUGUAACAAAAAUGC